Molecule: ribosomal RNA, 298 nt
Filed under: uncultured Vannella
Lineage: Eukaryota; Discosea; Flabellinia; Vannellidae
Description: partial Bacterial small subunit ribosomal RNA
Rfam family: Bacterial small subunit ribosomal RNA
Source: RNAcentral
AUGGAGAGUUUGAUCCUGGCUCAGGAUGAACGCUAGCGGCAGGCCUAAUACAUGCAAGUCGAGGGGCAGCACGAGUACUUGUACUUGGUGGCGACCGGCGCACGGGUGCGUAACGCGUAUGCAACCUACCCUUUACUGGAGGAUAGCCCGGGGAAACUCGGAUUAAUACUCCAUAGUAUUAUCAGAUGGCAUCUGAAGAUAAUUAAAGAUUUAUUGGUAAAGGAUGGGCAUGCGUAUCAUUAGUUAGUUGGUGAGGUAACGGCUCACCAAGACUUCGAUGAUUAGGGGGCCUGAGAGG